GGGGGUGUAAAGGUUUCGACUUAGAAAUGAAGCGUUAAUUGCAUGCGGAGGGCGUUGGCUGGCCUCCUAAAAAGCCGACAAAACAAUAAAUGCCGAACCUAAGGCUGAAUGCGAAAUUAUCAGCUUCGCUGAUCUUAAUGAUCUAAGAGUUGCUGCUUAAUUAGCAAAGUUGUUACCUAAGUACUGGUAACCCGGUGUUCGCGAGCUCCACCAGAGGUUUUCGAAACGCCGUCAUUUAUCUGGUUAGAAUUAGGGCCUUUUAACUCUCAAGGGAACUAAUUUGAAUUUUAAUGAGAGUCGUUGGUCUCUAUAGAGGUUUCUAGCUGAGGAGAUAUAACGUAAAAUAUUCUAGAAACUAAGCAUGUAGAGGUUAGCGGGGAGUUUACUAAGGACGAGAGUUCGAAUCUCUCCACCUCCAUAG
Molecule: transfer-messenger RNA, 421 nt
Filed under: Chlamydia muridarum
Lineage: Bacteria; Pseudomonadati; Chlamydiota; Chlamydiia; Chlamydiales; Chlamydiaceae
Also listed under: 3 other names
Description: Standard tmRNA
Rfam family: transfer-messenger RNA
About the family: Bacterial tmRNA, also known as 10Sa RNA or SsrA, is named for its dual tRNA and mRNA-like properties. Its role is to liberate the mRNA from a stalled ribosome. To accomplish this part of the tmRNA is used as a reading frame that ends in a translation stop signal.
Source: RNAcentral